This 237-nucleotide long non-coding RNA is filed under the name Helianthus annuus (common sunflower). Its description in RNAcentral is "hypothetical non coding rna". The record is from RNAcentral. Lineage: Eukaryota; Viridiplantae; Streptophyta; Magnoliopsida; Asterales; Asteraceae.
GUGGGAGCGACCAGGAGAGGGGAAGAACCCCCCAAACCCUUAUUUCAUCUAAUUUGAUCAAUUGAAGGGUGAAUUGAGCAUAUAAUCACUACAUGAAUCAAAAACCUUGAUCACCUACACUUGUCUAACACUAGGUAAGUUGCAAUUUCAGAUUUGGUGAUGUUUGAUUUUUGGGCAACAUAAGCGAGGCGUCGGGAAGUCAAGCCGGUGCGGACGCUAGUUUGAAGGGAAAACUUU